This 256-nucleotide unclassified non-coding RNA is filed under the name Hevea brasiliensis (rubber tree). The record is from RNAcentral. Lineage: Eukaryota; Viridiplantae; Streptophyta; Magnoliopsida; Malpighiales; Euphorbiaceae.
GCACCGAUGAGUGGUAGUCAUCAUCGAUGGAGGUGGUUGUGUGAGCUCUUUUUAAAAUGAAUAAAUUUAAUAUUUGCUACGAUACAAUGCUACAAUACCGAAUAAGAGUGCAUGCUACAGGAACAAUGCCUCUACAGCUUCAAGACCUCUGCAGCACAUGAGUGCUAUAGUACCUAUUGGAAGAAAAGGAGGUGAGAGCUCAGGCACGGCGAGAGAGUAACUUCGACCUAGGGGGAGGGGAAGGGAGUUUGAGAAA